AUACGGAGGAUCCGAGCGUUAUCCGGAUUUAUUGGGUUUAAAGGGUGCGCAGGCGGCCAUUUAAGUCAGCGGUUAAAUCGUGGGGCUCAACCCCAUUCUGCCGUUGAUACUGGGUGGCUUGAUCGCGGUCGAGGUUGGCGGAAUUCGUUGUGUAGCGGUGAAAUGCAUAGAUAUGACGAAGAACACCGAUUGCGUAGGCAGCUGACCAGACCGCAAAUGACGCUCAUGCACGAAAGUGCGGGGAUCGAACAGGAUUAGAUACCCUGGUAGUCCGCACAGUAAACGAUGAAUACUUGUUUUCGGCGAUAUAAUGUCGGAGGCAAAGCGAAAGCGAUAAGUAUUCCACCUGGGGAGUACGCCGGCAACGGUGAAACUCAAAGGAAUUGACGGGG
Molecule: ribosomal RNA, 392 nt
Filed under: uncultured bacterium
Lineage: Bacteria
Description: partial 16S ribosomal RNA
Rfam family: Bacterial small subunit ribosomal RNA
Source: RNAcentral